AGAGCUACGGCAGCCUACACAUGCAAGUCGAGGGGUAAGUUGCCUUCGGGCGACCUAGACCGGCGUACGGGUGCGUAACGCGUAUACAAUCUGCCUUACACACGGGGAUAGCCCGGAGAAAUCUGGAUCAAUACCCGAUGGUAUUAUUUUUAGGCAUCUUUAAAUAAUUAAAGCUUCGGUGGUGUAAGAUGAGUAUGCGUCCUAUUAGCUAGUUGGUGUGGUAACGGCAUACCAAGGCAACGAUAGGUAGGGGUCCUGAGAGGGAGAUCCCCCACACUGGUACUGAGACAGGGACCAGACUCCUACGGGAGGCAGCAGUGAGGAAUAUUGGUCAAUGGUCGGAAGACUGAACCAGCCAUGCCGCGUGUAGGAAGACUGCCUUAUGGGUUGUAAACUACUUUUGUAUGGGAAGAAUAAGGGUUAUGUAUAACUUGAUGACGGUACCAUACGAAUAAGCAUCGGCUAACUCCGUGCCAGCAGCCGCGGUAAU
Molecule: ribosomal RNA, 490 nt
Filed under: uncultured bacterium
Lineage: Bacteria
Description: bacterial SSU rRNA
Rfam family: Bacterial small subunit ribosomal RNA
Source: RNAcentral